RNAcentral lists this ribosomal RNA (433 nucleotides) under uncultured bacterium. Its description in RNAcentral is "partial 16S ribosomal RNA". It matches the Rfam family "Bacterial small subunit ribosomal RNA", at positions 29 to 507 of the family's 1533-position model. The record is from RNAcentral.
AACGAACGCUGGCGGCAUGCCUAACACAUGCAAGUCGAACGAGACCUUCGGGCCUAGUGGCGCACGGGUGCGUAACGCGUGGGAAUCUGCCCUUGGGUUCGGAAUAACAGUUGGAAACGACUGCUAAUACCGGAUGAUGACGUAAGUCCAAAGAUUUAUCGCCCAGGGAUGAGCCCGCGUAGGAUUAGCUAGUUGGUGGGGUAAAGGCCUACCAAGGCGACGAUCCUUAGCUGGUCUGAGAGGAUGAUCAGCCACACUGGGACUGAGACACGGCCCAGACUCCUACGGGAGGCAGCAGUGGGGAAUAUUGGACAAUGGGCGAAAGCCUGAUCCAGCAAUGCCGCGUGAGUGAUGAAGGCCUUAGGGUUGUAAAGCUCUUUUACCCGGGAUGAUAAUGACAGUACCGGGAGAAUAAGCCCCGGCUAACUCCGUG